UGGGGAAUAUUGGACAAUGGGCGAAAGCCUGAUCCAGCCAUGCCGCGUGUGUGAAGAAGGCCUUUUGGUUGUAAAGCACUUUAAGUGGGGAGGAAAAGCUUAUGGUUAAUACCCAUAAGCCCUGACGUUACCCACAGAAUAAGCACCGGCUAACUCUGUGCCAGCAGCCGCGGUAAUACGGAGGGUGCAAGCGUUAAUCGGAAUUACUGGGCGUAAAGCGCGCGUAGGUGGUUAUUUAAGUCAGAUGUGAAAGCCCCGGGCUUAACCUGGGAACUGCAUCUGAUACUGGAUAACUAGAGUAGGUGAGAGGGGAGUAGAAUUCCAGGUGUAGCGGUGAAAUGCGUAGAGAUCUGGAGGAAUACCGAUGGCGAAGGCAGCUCCCUGGCAUCAUACUGACACUGAGGUGCGAAAGCGUGGGUAGCAAACAGGAUUAGAUACCCUGGUAGUCCACGCCGUAAACGAUGUCUACCAGUCGUUGGGUCUUUUAAAGACUUAGUGACGCAGUUAACGCAAUAAGUAGACCGCCUGGGGAGUACGGCCGCAAGGUUA
This 549-nucleotide ribosomal RNA is filed under the name uncultured bacterium. RNAcentral's name for it is "bacterial SSU rRNA". It matches the Rfam family "Bacterial small subunit ribosomal RNA", at positions 355 to 896 of the family's 1533-position model. The record is from RNAcentral.